This 789-nucleotide long non-coding RNA is filed under the name Capra hircus (goat). RNAcentral's name for it is "lncRNA (ENSCHIG00000002715.1)". The record is from RNAcentral. Lineage: Eukaryota; Metazoa; Chordata; Mammalia; Artiodactyla; Bovidae.
AGGUUACAUGCUAGCACCUGACCUCACCAUGCUGGGAUCUCAUUUGUGCUGGGGAGCCUAGUGCCAUGGCAGCAGACUCACUUUCUUCCUGAGCUCAGAGAGAGCAGCCACCAUAGCGCUCGUAGCUUUUGUCACGAAUGCUGGUGUUCCAUGGACUCCUUUGUGCAUUAGUGAAGAGAAUUUCCUGCAAGCUGACAGUCGUCCUUGUAUGGAAGCAGUUCCUCAUGGAGGAGGCCCUGACUGUCUGUACCAUGCUUGGAUCUAAUUCUCAUUUGUGGAAUGGCGUCAACAAGAAAUCUUGGGAGUGGAGACUGAAGAGAAUCAUCAUCCCAAGAGAUAUCUGCACCAGGAAAGCUUGGUGACCCAGACAUGAAGGUAUGCCUGCUGAACUACCACUCUCAACAUACUGCUGCUGCUGCUGCUAAGUCACUUCAGUCGUGUCCAACUCUGUGUGACCCCAUAGACGGCAGCCCACCAGGCUCCCCCAUCCCUGGGAUUCUCCAGGCAAGAAGACUGGAGUGCUAUAAGUUAUUAACUUUAGUAUUAAGCUUAAAAUUUAAACCUAGAGAUGGAGAUAAAUAGAAACCUGCCUAUUUUGAUGGAUUAUAAAGAGAAAGACAGAAAUCAUCAGAUUCUCAAACUAUAACUUCAAACUGAAACAGUCAAAUCACUUACAGAAGAUGUUUUAAUAUAAACUUUUUAUUCAUAAUCAUUGCAACCUGUGACUUACGCUUUUUUAUACUUUACCCAUAGAGGAAAAUUCUGUGAUUAUCAUUGACUUUAAAAAUG